UCUGAUGAUGAUGUCCACAUUGAUUCUAUUCGUGUUGGUGGCAAGCGCCAUGACCGUCUCCGUUAAUGCACAGUGUACCUGUCAACAACGAACCAAUGAGAUGACGAUGUUCUACAAUCAGAUGAUAGAUACAGUUCUGUCCACCAUGCGAAACAUGAAUAUGAAUUCACCAUCUAAUCUGGACUACAACCAGUACAACCAAUUCAAUUCGCCAGGGCUACAGACUCCCCCUCCUCCUCCUCCUGCUCCACCUGCUCCACUGGGCGUUUGAUCCUCGAUUUAAAUUGUUUAAUGGAAUGAAUAAUGUAGUUCCAGAAGCACAUAUUAACAAAAAUCAACAAGCUGUAAAAUGUGUCCGUGUGGACUUAAACUAAAAAUAAAGAAAUACGACUUUA
Molecule: long non-coding RNA, 395 nt
Organism: Gigantopelta aegis
Lineage: Eukaryota; Metazoa; Mollusca; Gastropoda; Neomphalida; Peltospiridae
Exons: 2
Source: RefSeq, a predicted model, not a curated record